RNAcentral lists this unclassified non-coding RNA (229 nucleotides) under plant metagenome. RNAcentral describes it as "partial contains small subunit ribosomal RNA, internal transcribed spacer 1, and 5.8S ribosomal RNA". The record is from RNAcentral.
UCUCCGUAGGUGAACCUGCGGAGGGAUCAUUACAGAGUUCUCGCCCUCGCGGGUAGAUCUCCCACCCACUGCUAUCGUUACUGUGUUGCUUUGGCGGGCCGCCGGGCCCCGCUCGGCCGCCGGCUCCGGCUGGCGCGCGCCCGCCAGAGGCCCAGCAAACUCUGAAUGUUAGUGUCGUCUGAGUACUAUAUAAUAGUUAAAACUUUCAACAACGGAUCUCUUGGUUCUG